Molecule: ribosomal RNA, 468 nt
Filed under: uncultured bacterium
Lineage: Bacteria
Description: partial 16S ribosomal RNA
Rfam family: Bacterial small subunit ribosomal RNA
Source: RNAcentral
GACGAACGCUGGCGGCGUGCUUAACACAUGCAAGUCGAACGGAAAGGCCCUGCUUUUGUGGGGUGCUCGAGUGGCGAACGGGUGAGUAACACGUGAGUAACCUGACCUUGGCUUUGGGAUAACUUCAGGAAACUGGGGCUAAUACCGGAUAGGAGCUCCUGCUGCAGGGUGGGGGUUGGAAUGUUUCGGCGGUUGGGGAUGGACUCGCGGCUUAUCAGCCUGUUGGUGGGGUAGUGGCUGACCAAGGCUUUGACGGGUAGCCGGCCUGAGAGGGUGACCGGCCACAUUGGGACUGAGAUACGGCCCAGACUCCUACGGGAGGCAGCAGUGGGGAAUAUUGCACAGUGGGCGGAAGCCUGAUGCAGCAACGCCGCGUGCGGGAUGACGGCCUUCGGGUUGUAAACCGCUUUCGCCUGUGACGAAGCGUGAGUGACGGUAAUGGGUAAAGAAGCACCGGCUAACUACGUG